UUGAAUGAUGAUGGAUGGUAGAUGUGAGAAUGUGGGGGUACGAAUGUGGGGGUGUGUCUGAAUGGUCAUUUUUGUUGAACAUUGUGUUGUGUUGGGGCUACCAACCCUUAACUGUUUUGGAGUUUAAAUUGGAAGUGCCCUUCUGGUACGAGGCCUGACCAGAGGCCUUUAAUCUGGUACCACGGGUAACCAGGAGCCCACGGAACUUGUUCCGUCCUGGUUAGUUGGUGCGGCCCUUCGGGGAGUAUCGUGGUGGUUGUGGUUUAACACCCAAAUGCGGGUAGAGCAUCGCUCGACGUGGAGUUGCGUCAUACAACCGGGUUCCGUGACCCAGAUUACGGAAGAGGCUUAGAUAGUCCUCGUGCCAAACCAAGGUAGAAGUCACAACCAAACAGUCGUGUCUUUAAUUGGUACCUGCGGAAUUGUUCCAAGGGGGCGGUGAUUGACGCUUGAAUUAAUCCUAUACUAGGAACCGUGAGAUUAAGCCAUCGCGGCAGGUGCUCACGUUAAGCCCACUGACUUUCAUGUCCCUAUCUACUAUCUAGCGAAACCACAGCCAAGGGAACGGGCUUGGAAUAAUUAGCGGGGAAAGAAGACCCUUUUGAGCUUGACUCUAAUCUGGCAGUGUAAGGAGACAUAAGAGGUGUAGAAUAAGUGGGAGAUAUUAGACUUCGGUUUGGUAUCGACAAUGAAAUACCACUACUCUUAUUGUUUCCUUACUUACUUGAUUAAAUGGAACGUGUAUCAUUUCCUAGCCAUUAUACGGAUAUAAUUAUUAUGUCUUAUGGUAUUGGGUUUUGAUGCAAGCUUCUUGAUCAAAGUAUCACGAGUUUGUUAUAUAAUCGCAAACAAAUUCUUUAAUGAGAGAAUGCAUUUAUGUAUUAUUGAUUUAAAAAUUUGGUAUAACUCCAAUUACUCAGGUAUGAUCCAAUUCAAGGACAUUGCCAGGUAGGGAGUUUGACUGGGGCGGUACAUCUCUCAAAUAAUAACGGAGGUGUCCCAAGGCCAGCUCAGUGCGGACAGAAACCACACAUAGAGCAAAAGGGCAAAUGCUGACUUGAUCUCGGUG
Molecule: non-coding RNA, 1069 nt
Filed under: Drosophila virilis
Lineage: Eukaryota; Metazoa; Arthropoda; Insecta; Diptera; Drosophilidae
Description: Eukaryotic large subunit ribosomal RNA
Rfam family: Eukaryotic large subunit ribosomal RNA
Source: Rfam by way of RNAcentral